RNAcentral lists this unclassified non-coding RNA (341 nucleotides) under soil metagenome. RNAcentral describes it as "partial contains 5.8S ribosomal RNA, internal transcribed spacer 2, and large subunit ribosomal RNA". The stretch from base 1 to 120 matches the Rfam family "5.8S ribosomal RNA", at positions 35 to 154 of the family's 154-position model. The record is from RNAcentral.
GAUGAAGAACGCAGCGAAAUGCGAUAAGUAGUGUGAAUUGCAGAAUUCAGUGAAUCAUCGAAUCUUUGAACGCACAUUGCGGCCAUAGGUAUUCCUUUGGCCAUGCCUGUUCGAGCGUCAUUUACACCCUCAAGCCUAGCUUGGUGUUGGGCGCCUGUCCCGCCGUUUUCGCGCGCGGACUCGCCUCAAAGUCAUUGGCGGCGGUCGUGCCGGCCCCCUCGCGCAGCACAUUUGCGCUUCUCGGAGGCCCGGCGGAUCCGCGCUCCAGCAAGACCUUUCACGACUUGACCUCGGAUCAGGUAGGGAUACCCGCUGAACUUAAGCAUAUCAUAAGCGGAGGA